ACGAGUCGUUACGGGGUUGUUUGCUGGCUUCUGUCACGGGAGCAUGUGCACGCCUCGCAUCCACUUCAACCUCACCUGUGCACUUCAGAGGACCUCUUCGGUCUUCUUUCACACAAACCACAUAAUGUCAUAGUAGAACGUUUUUGUUAUUAAACAAUA
Molecule: unclassified non-coding RNA, 159 nt
Filed under: uncultured fungus
Lineage: Eukaryota; Fungi
Description: sequence contains ITS1, 5.8S rRNA gene
Source: RNAcentral